This 497-nucleotide ribosomal RNA is filed under the name uncultured bacterium. RNAcentral describes it as "partial 16S ribosomal RNA". It matches the Rfam family "Bacterial small subunit ribosomal RNA", at positions 28 to 507 of the family's 1533-position model. The record is from RNAcentral.
GAUGAACGCUGGCGGCGUGCCUAAUACAUGCAAGUCGAGCGAACGGACGAGAAGCUUGCUUCUCUGAUGUUAGCGGCGGACGGGUGAGUAACACGUGGAUAACCUACCUAUAAGACUGGGAUAACUUCGGGAAACCGGAGCUAAUACCGGAUAAUAUUUUGCACCGCAUGGUUCAAAAGUGAAAGACGGUCUUGCUGUCACUUAUAGCUGGAUCCGCGCUGCAUUAGCUAGUUGGUAAGGUAACGGCUUACCAAGGCAACGAUGCAUAGCCGACCUGAGAGGGUGAUCGGCCACACUGGAACUGAGACACGGUCCAGACUCCUACGGGAGGCAGCAGUAGCGAAUCUGCCGCAGUAGUCGAAAGCCUGACGGAGCAACGCCGCGUGAGAGAUGAAGGUCUUCGGAGCGUAAAACUCUGUUAUUAGUGAAGAACAUAUGUGUAAGUAACUGUGCACAGCUUGACGGUACCUAAUCAGAAAGCCACGGCUAACUACGUG